RNAcentral lists this unclassified non-coding RNA (253 nucleotides) under uncultured Rickettsiales bacterium. Its description in RNAcentral is "contains 16S-23S intergenic spacer region". It matches the Rfam family "Bacterial small subunit ribosomal RNA", at positions 524 to 776 of the family's 1533-position model. The record is from RNAcentral. Lineage: Bacteria; Pseudomonadati; Pseudomonadota; Alphaproteobacteria; Rickettsiales.
UACGAAGGGGGCUAGCGUUGUUCGGAUUUACUGGGCGUAAAGCGCGCGUAGGCGGCGCAGCAAGUCAGGGGUGAAAUCCCAGAGCUUAACUCUGGAAUUGCCUUUGAAACUGCUGUGCUUGAGUGUUGGAGGGGAUAGCGGAAUUCCUAAUGUAGCGGUGAAAUGCGUAGAUAUUAGGAGGAACACCGGUGGCGAAGGCGGCUAUCUGGACAACAACUGACGCUGAGGCGCGAAAGCGUGGGGAUCAAACAGG